RNAcentral lists this ribosomal RNA (497 nucleotides) under uncultured bacterium. RNAcentral's name for it is "partial 16S ribosomal RNA". It matches the Rfam family "Bacterial small subunit ribosomal RNA", at positions 29 to 507 of the family's 1533-position model. The record is from RNAcentral.
ACGAACGCUGGCGGCGUGCCUAAUACAUGCAAGUCGCACGAGAGCGACCGGUGCUUGCACUGGUCAAUCUAGUGGCGAACGGGUGAGUAACACGUGGGUAACCUGCCCAUCAGAGGGGGAUAACAUCCGGAAACGGAUGCUAAAACCGCAUAGGUCUUCGAGCCGCAUGGCUUGAAGAGGAAAAGAGGCGCAAGCUUCUGCUGAUGGAUGGACCCGCGGUGCAUUAGCUAGUUGGUGAGGUAACGGCUCACCAAGGCCGUGAUGCAUAGCCGACCUGAGAGGGUGAUCGGCCACAUUGGGACUGAGACACGGCCCAAACUCCUACGGGAGGCAGCAGUAGGGAAUCUUCCGCAAAGGACGCAAGUCUGACGGAGCAACGCCGCGUGAGUGAAGAAGGUUUUCGGAUCGUAAAACUCUGUUGUUAGAGAAGAACAAGUGCUAGAGUAACUGUUAGCGCCUUGACGGUAUCUAACCAGAAAGCCACGGCUAACUACGUG